Molecule: unclassified non-coding RNA, 241 nt
Filed under: Hevea brasiliensis (rubber tree)
Lineage: Eukaryota; Viridiplantae; Streptophyta; Magnoliopsida; Malpighiales; Euphorbiaceae
Source: RNAcentral
CAAAGGAUUUUCUUCUACACGAAGGACACGUAGUCGUGUUAGCAUCCGGAAAGAGUCUGGAAGGACACGUAUCUGGUUAUUGCUAAUAUCCAGCUCUUCAAGAUUCUCAAGGUUCCCAAUAGAUCUUGGUAGGGACUGUAGAUCAGCAAAAUUGUUUCCUAUAUUCAUCUUGACAAGUGAGGUGGCAAAACACAAGCUCUCAGGCACCGACUCAAGCUCGUUGAAACUCACAUCGAGCUCC